RNAcentral lists this signal recognition particle RNA (103 nucleotides) under Clostridium sp. SS2/1. RNAcentral describes it as "Bacterial signal recognition particle RNA". It matches the Rfam family "Bacterial small signal recognition particle RNA". From Rfam's summary of the family: The signal recognition particle (SRP) is a universally conserved ribonucleoprotein involved in the co-translational targeting of proteins to membranes. RNAcentral also lists the same sequence under 1 other name. The record is from RNAcentral. Lineage: Bacteria; Bacillati; Bacillota; Clostridia; Eubacteriales; Clostridiaceae.
UAUCUGGGUCUCACGCAAUAGGAAUCCAUGAACCGUGUCAGGUUGGGAACAAAGCAGCACUAAGUGGAACCUUCUAUGUGCCGUGAGGGUGCCUGGGUUGAGU